GUUCAGCUGGCGAGUCCCGAAUAGGACGAAACGCGCAUCCUGAAU
RNAcentral lists this non-coding RNA (45 nucleotides) under Schistosoma margrebowiei. The record is from RNAcentral. Lineage: Eukaryota; Metazoa; Platyhelminthes; Trematoda; Strigeidida; Schistosomatidae.